This 468-nucleotide ribosomal RNA is filed under the name uncultured bacterium. RNAcentral's name for it is "partial 16S ribosomal RNA". It matches the Rfam family "Bacterial small subunit ribosomal RNA", at positions 28 to 507 of the family's 1533-position model. The record is from RNAcentral.
GACGAACGCUGGCGGCGUGCUUAACACAUGCAAGUCGAACGGAAAGGCCCUGCUUUUGUGGGCUGCUCGAGUGGCGAACGGGUGAGUAACACGUGAGUAACCUGUCCCUGACUUUGGGAUAACUUCAUGAAACUGGGGCUAAUACCGGAUAGGAGCUCCUGCUGCAUGGUGGGGGUUGGUUAGUUUCGGCGGUUGGGGAUGGACUCGCGGCGUAUCAGAUUGGUGGUGGGGUAGUGUCUUACCAAGGCCUUGACGGGUAGCCGGGCUGAGAGGGUGACCGGCCACACUGGGACUGAGAUGCGGCACAGCCUCCUAUGGGAGGGAACGGUGGGGAAUAUAGCACAAUAGGCGGAAGGAUGAUGCAGCAACGCCGCGUGGGGGAUGAGGGGAAUCGGGUAGGAAAGCGCUGUCGCUUGUGACGAGGCGUGAGUGACGGUAAUGGGUAAAGAAGCACCGGCUAACUACGUG